UCGGGCCUUGAGUUCUGGGACUGGACUUGAAAUGGGGACUUCAGAAAAAAUUUACGCUAAGAAGCUGCUAAAUAAGCACCUAGGACGGUAAAGUAGGAUCAGAAAUGUAUUGGUUGAGAUGUCUUGAUGAAGUAAGUGGAGUGUGGACAGAAAUCUCGUCGGUAUAAUUCUAUUACGGGAGUUUCCAUAGUCUAGCCCUUGUUGACUUUACUUCUAGCCAAUAAAUUAAGCCCGGGAUUUUUUUGAAGCUUCAGCCACUGACCAAUAUCAAGAGUAUUGUGGUGUUUAUGAUGGACAAGCUUCAGAAUUGUAUUACUGCAUGAGCUUGACAUAUGAUUUUAUGCCCAGCUGAAUUAACAUGGUUACUGAUUUGAGAAUGCUAAGUAGCAAAUAUAUAUUUAUGUCUUUUGGAUUCUCUUUCUAUUUGCUUUCUUGCCCUAUCCUAUUUCAAGUGAUAAUAAUUGAUGGCAUUUUGAUUCCAAUUGGUUAUUCCUUUUUUAUAAUUUUGCAAUUUGACAGUUGGUUUAGCUGUGUAAGAUUUGCCUAUCCAUUUGUUAGAUUUAGGGAAAAUAAGGAUAGUGAGUUGAAUCCAUCUGUUGAAUGGGCCGAUUUAGAUCAAAGUUAAAGAAGAAUGGAUAGCUGUCAUCUAAUUUGGCAUGUUACCUUACACAUGGAGUAGUGGUUCCUUGAUGUGCCCUUUCAUAUGUGCUUGCCUGAUCUCAAUUUAUCAUCUAUGCCAAGUAACGGGAUUGUAAAUUACUCUAGCAGUAAUUUUUUCCCCUCCCCAGUCUCAAAUAGACAACAUCCAGAAAGUAUUUUUGUGCAUUGGGGAGGGUUUAGGUCUGUAGGUCAGAUGGUGUUCGGGUGAUAUUACACAAGCAACAGCUUGAUUUGAGGUGGAAAUUGUGAGAAAAGAGACAAAGCAAUCUUGAAUAGGGAGGGAUAAUGCUAUUAUUCUUUAAAAGAAAGGGUACUCUGAAGUGUGUUGAAUAAGCUUCUAACUUGGGUGGGUAAAGUUGGCAUUUUGGGAACCAUGGUGACUUCAGCCAUGUACCUGUAGGACAUGUUGUUGCUAAAUUAGGAAUAAACAUUAUUCAAAAGAUAAUAUAUAAUAUCCUAUCAAAACUGAUGGCGCAGACGGUUGUCUGCCAACAAUAUCUCUCUCCUAUAAGAAAGGAUAGGAUUGCCUCUCCUCUUGGCACCCCCCCUCCCCAAAAAAAAAAUAAAAAUUCCCAGCACACAAAUCCCAAAGCUUGUUGGAGUUAAGAAUGCCUCCUAGGAUGGAUCUCUAAUGUCUCAAAACUUGUCAUGAUAUGCAACAAUAUAUAAGAUUCAUAUGUAACCAUGGGGUUGCUAAAUGUAAUUUGUUUCAAGUCGCAGCCGGGAGCUGGAGACAAAGAUAUCUAUAUCCAGGUUUUGCUAAACAGUAAAUUUGAUAUACACUGACAGUGUAUCCAAUUUGCUUAAACUUCGAUGAGAAUGGUACGAGAAAGCUCCUGAAUGUUUGAAUACAAGGACUCUGGUUUGGCGUCUGUUUGGCAGCAUCUAUUCCCCCUUGGUUUUUGAUCGAGAGUUCUUAAUACCCAACUGGUUGUAUGCAGCAGCAACAUUUGUACAGUAAUCAUUGAUAGCAUUCUUUUCCAGGAUAAAAAGUUUUCUGAGAUAGUAGCUUCCGAGAUUCAUUGUGUAAAGCAGAACUCUGAUGUCAAAAGUUUUGAGGCUAUAGUAAAAGCUCUAUUUGGGCUGCGGAUGUGGAUUUGUCAAAGAUGUUCUUAAAAUGUUUGUCAA
This is a non-coding RNA of Coffea arabica (coffee), 1788 nucleotides long. Lineage: Eukaryota; Viridiplantae; Streptophyta; Magnoliopsida; Gentianales; Rubiaceae. The record is from RefSeq and is a predicted model, not a curated record.